UAAAUACUACAACAUCUGUUGCACUUCAGCUCAGUUGCAUUCUAACCUUCUAGGGACAAAUUGGAAAAUAUGAAAUAUUCUCGAGCAUUACUUGGACUAUUGCCUGUGCUUGCUGCUUUUAUACAAUGUGGUUUGGCUCAUGAUCCGUUGCAGAUGGGGAUUUGUGCAAUGCGUCCCGAGUAUGGAAGAUGCGAUGGACAUACAAUGGUGUGGGCCUACGAUAAA
Long non-coding RNA from Drosophila guanche, 225 nucleotides. RefSeq lists it as uncharacterized. The record is from RefSeq and is a predicted model, not a curated record. NCBI's taxonomy places the organism in Eukaryota, Metazoa, Arthropoda, Insecta, Diptera, Drosophilidae. The transcript has 2 exons.